AUUGAACGCUGGCGGCAGGCUUGACACAUGCAAGUCGAGCGGGGUGAAGUGCUUCGGUACUGAUCCUAGCGGCGGACGGGUGAGUAAUGCUUAGGAAUCUGCCAUUUAGUGGGGGACAACAUUCCGAAAGGGAUGCUAAUACCGCAUACGUCCUACGGGAGAAAGCAGGGGAUCUUCGGACCUUGCGCUAAAUGAUGAGCCUAAGUCGGAUUAGCUAGUUGGUGGGGUAAAGGCCUACCAAGGCGACGAUCUGUAGCGGGUCUGAGAGGAUGGUCCGCCACACUGGGACGGAGACACGGCCCAGACUCCUACGGGAGGCAGCAGUGGGGAAUAUUGGACAAUGGGCGGAAGCCUGAUCCAGCCAUGCCGCGUGUGUGAAGAAGGCCUUUUGGUUGUAAAGCACUUUAAGCGAGGAGGAGGCUACCUAGAUUAAUACUCUGGGAUAGUGGACGUUACUCGCAGAAUAAGCACCGGCUAACUCUGUGCCAGCAGCCGCGGUAA
Molecule: ribosomal RNA, 501 nt
Filed under: uncultured bacterium
Lineage: Bacteria
Description: partial 16S ribosomal RNA
Rfam family: Bacterial small subunit ribosomal RNA
Source: RNAcentral